Molecule: transfer RNA, 73 nt
Filed under: Mus musculus (house mouse)
Lineage: Eukaryota; Metazoa; Chordata; Mammalia; Rodentia; Muridae
Description: tRNA-Ser
Source: RNAcentral
GGAGAGAUGGCUCAGUGGUUAAGAGCACUGACUGCUCUUCCAGAGGUCCUGAGUUCGAUUCCCAGCACCCACG